UACGUAGGGGACAAGCGUUGUCCGGAAUUAUUGGGCGUAAAGAGCUCGUAGGCGGCUUGUCGCGUCGGCUGUGAAAACCCGCGGCUCAACUGUGGGCGGGCAGCUGAUACGGGCAGGCUGGAGUUCGGUAGGGGAGACUGGAAUUCCUGGUGUAGCGGUGAAAUGCGCAGAUAUCAGGAGGAACACCGGUGGCGAAGGCGGGUCUCUGGGCCGAUACUGACGCUGAGGAGCGAAAGCGUGGGGAGCGAACAGG
This 253-nucleotide ribosomal RNA is filed under the name uncultured bacterium. RNAcentral's name for it is "partial 16S ribosomal RNA". It matches the Rfam family "Bacterial small subunit ribosomal RNA", at positions 524 to 776 of the family's 1533-position model. The record is from RNAcentral.